RNAcentral lists this long non-coding RNA (15421 nucleotides) under Populus tremula. RNAcentral describes it as "long non-coding RNA (PTRE_LNC000042)". The record is from RNAcentral. Lineage: Eukaryota; Viridiplantae; Streptophyta; Magnoliopsida; Malpighiales; Salicaceae.
ACAACAUAUAUCAGUUUAGAGAACCACAAAAAAAGUAAUCAUUUCUCAAAAAAUCAUCAGAUUGAAUUACACUUUUUUUACAAGACUUUAACAUGGCAAAGGUUGGUCUCUCAUUUUGUCACCCUCCUCUUUUUUCUAUAUUACUCCUUUUUACUUGGUGUUCUAUUUGCUUUCCAUGUGAAUGAGGGUUGAGGUCAUUCAACUAUACAUUGAUGAGAGUGAAACUCACCAUUUGACAGCAAUCUAACAAUUAGUUUUUCAAGUCUUGCUGCUCCAGUGCCAGGCCUCAGAAUAUCAGCAUCACCCCAAGCUGAGCAUGUUAUGUUUCCAGGCUCACCACCCAAGCACCACCCACCAGGCACCACUUCACCAGGAUUUCGUCCCAAAACAUCUUGGUCAAUGCGAUCGAGUACAGGAUCAUCUAACUUGAAUUGAGUGGCAAAGGCUGCUCCACUCUGAAUCAUUGCAUCAAAUUCACUAGAAUUAAGUGCGCGGGGCACCUUCUUAGAAGGCUUCUCAAAGGCUACAUAUUGUAAGUUAUGGUUUAUGACAGUCCUAUUGAACUGACGUGAAUUGCAUAUGACUGUUGGGAAAUAAUUGAUUAGGAUGAAGGUGUAUUUGAUAAAUACAUCAUUAGGAUCCUCGGAAGGUUGUCCACACCCAAGAUGCAGUGCUCUAUCAAAUUACGACUUACAAAGGAAAAAGAGGUUCCUGCAGGGAAAAUAAACACUUGUGUUGAUGAAAAAAAUAAAAUAAUAGUUUGUCCAACAAGCAAAAGACUUUCAAAUUAAAGGGAGAAUUAUUUCAUGGUCAUUUGGCCCCGACCAAGCUCAUGCUAGGAUAUAAUGCUUUUGUAAAAGAAAGGAGCAGUAAAUAAACUUCAUAGCAACAUGCAUGACUUGAGGAAGAUCACUAAGCUCCAUAAAGAGAAAAAUUUGACCAUGUCCAAACUAUUGAAUUUUACAAUUAUAUGGGGUUCCAAAAUUAAUAUUUUGAGCUACGACUCUCUUUGCUCUUUUAUAUUACCUUCCUUUUCAUUUCUUAUCCCUUUCCACUCCUUUCUUUUCAAAAACAUACAAGCAAUUACUGGGUUCAUCUGCACAAAAAAAACCCAAUCACCAAGCUAGUUCCUGGAGAUUUUAGACAGGAAAUUUUAUUGAUACGCCUUCUAUCCACAAAAUAAUCAGUUUAAAUCUCCAAACUGUUUAAACUUAAAACUGCCAAUUUACUCAAAACUCUUGAUAGUAGAACUAAUCCUCUUGCAAAACUCUUAAUAUAAAUGACACACCAAACUAAUUCCCCAUCGGCAUCAACUGAGGAAUCAACAAUGUUAGGGAGAAACUAAAAAGAUCCUGUAGUUUUUGUUCCAUCUUCAGAUAUGCCAAUUCACCUAGCAACUAGCAUUUGGUUAUUAGUAACCAAAUUUUUCCCAUCUAAUAAGAGUAGACAGAAUCCAUCAAACUUAGAGUAUCCACUAGGUUGAUGGAAAAUUGUAGGUUUUCUAUACUACACCACAGGUGAGUUAGCAGUGAGGGAAUUGGAGUCAUCACUGGCUUGCUAGUCAGAAAAGUAUAACUAGAAAUCAAUGGUUGAGAAUCUUUGAUGAGUUUUCAACCAAUUUCAAUUGGGGAAGAAUUUGUUUCACAAAACAAAUUAGGUGGAAUACAACAUAAAUGAAUCUUAGUAAUCAAUUGUGAGGCCCUGAAAUCAAUGGUUGAGAAUCCUUGAUAAGAGUAUUAUAUCAAAGUAUUCAGUGCGCUAUUCCAGUUUUCAAUAAGGAGCAUGAUGAUCUGAGCUUGACUAGGUUCUACUACCGCUAACAUAUUAAAGUAAUUAAGUUGAUGGCUCUCUGUAUAACUCUCCAUCAAAGAACAGAGGCAAGAGGAUUAUUCUUCCCUUAAACAGGAUUCUACAAAGUUAAAUUCUCCCCAAGUCUAGCUCCAUCAAACAGCAGAGAUGGGACUGCUGUUCUUUUUUCCUGAACGAAUCCUAUAACCUUACACCUCCAGGCUAAUGCUAAAACUGAACUUCUAGUCACCACUUAUAUGGUCCAUUUCACACAUCACGGCACACAAUAUUUGAUUGGGAUAUGGAGGAGUUAUCCUGAGAAUUUAUAAUAGUGCAACUUACAUUGCCUGACAUGCUACUGACCAAUAAAACUUUCUCAAAGAAAAAAAUGGGCAGGGAAAACUGGAGAACAACGAAGUAUAAUCAAUAACAUCCUUGGAAUAUUAUGCAAAACCAUCAAAAUGUCAUAAUCUAACCCAUCUGGUUAACUACAAAUUUUGCUUCUAAUCUGCUAUUCCGCACUAAUUCAAGCUAUACCAUGCUUGUUCCCAGUUCAAACUAGUUCAUAAGCAAUCAGUAGGCAUGCUACACUGAAAUAUCUCUUCUUUGUCCAUGACAAACAGCAUUAUGUAUUAGCUCAGUGCAAUACGCAUCUAAAAGAACAAUCAAAACAAUAGAAGAAAACAAACCUGUAAAUAGCCUGAAAGAAUUAGGCAAAUCUCGCUUUUGAGUAGCAUAAAACAUCUCAGAUUUCUCCGACAAGUAAAGCCCCGGAUCAACAAUUAUUGGCUUCAAUUGUCUAGACCUGCAAAACCACCACAUGCAACUUAUAAAUCCUUAACAAAACCAACCACAUUAACAUGACACCAAAAACAGCCAGUAAGUCUUAAAAGUCAGUUUCACAUACUCUCUCCAUCCAAUGUAACUCGAGUGAUUGACAAAGUUGAGAUCUUUAGGCAAAUAUGACAAAAUGUGAAGAAGAUCUACAAAACCCACAAAACAAAGACAAGAACUUUAAUCUCAAAACCAACAAAAACACACAUCAUAUAAUCCAAGAACAAAACUAAAAAUAUUUGAAAAAAGAAAACACAAAUGCCACCAAAAAGUUUAAAACGUUUACCAUCUGGAGUAACAAGUGGAUAAUCAGCAGCACCAAGAUUAACAAACCAAUCCCAUUUCUUUGGCAACCUCAACAAUAUAGCAGCGCCAUGAAGUGUGGGAAAUGGUAGAAGACCCCUUUGGGUAAGCAAAAUCAGCCUUCCCGAUCACAUUCACAUUCUGUGCAGCUUUAAAAAUAGGCACUGAUUGGACACUAAGAGCUAAUUGAUCACGAUCGGUUUGUGGAGCAGAGAGGUCCAGGUGGAGCAAGUAUUGGUUUUUCGGGUGGUAAGUGGCAUAUAGAAGUCUAAGGACCCGAUCCAAAUCACCCUUGGACCCGGAUAUCAAGUAGGCGAUGGAGGGUGGGUUGGAUCAGAAGGGAUUUUGGUGAAAGUGGGUUCGCGGUUUGGGAAGAGAUACGGGUCGGGCCGGCCAUGGGUGGAUAUAGAGGAGGUGUUGAAGGAGUAAGAGGAGAGGGUGAAGAUGAAGAGGAGGGAGAAAAAGGAGGUGGUUAGGAUUAUGAAGAGCGUGGUUUUGGUGUUGUCAUUUGUGGAGGAGGAGGAGAGCGGUGGUGGUGGUUGUUGUGGGACUUGCAUUUUCUUGGAAAAUGGAAGGGUUUUCUUUCGUCCGUGAAUCAGUUCGAUUUAUCUGGUAUUUUUUAUAUUGAAGGAAGUGAAGUGGGCCUGUGUUGUGCGUCCGGGGUUUCGGUUCCUGGGAAACAGGAAGAGCGUAACAUUUUUUGUUAUUUUGCUUUAAUCAUUUUUUGGUUAUAAUCGGUCUGAGUUCAAAAAGAUUUGCUUCCUCUUUUAACUCAUCACACUUGUACCAAUCUUAAAACUUGGAAUACAUUACGAGAAAAAAACUGGAAUCAUCAGCAAAAAAUUGAAAGGUAUAGUGUUUUCAUUGUAUAUACAUGUGAAAACAUUGUUAAUUAUAAUAGUAAUUCUUUGUUUUGUUUUUUUUGCUAUUCAAUUUUUUUCUAUUCUUGUUAUUUAACUCUAUUUUUCUUUGAUUUUGUUAAUUUUCUCUGAGAAAAAUAAGAUUGAGUUGAUUCUCAAUUUUAUAAAAAUAAUAUUUAUAAAAAAAUAAAAAUAAAAGGACUAAGAUGGAAAGCAAGGGAAAAAUAUAGUUUUUUUUUACAUGGUAUAGUUCAUUCGGUGCCUUUUGGGGAAAAAAAACCUAGAGAUUUUUCUCAGUUUUUAUUUUAAUUAUUUUAGUUUGAAAAUUAUAUAUUCUAGUCUGAAUUUUCAUUCACUUUUAAGUAAGAAAAAGUUAUUGGAUGUUCAUAUUUCAAUAGUAAGAACUUGUUUUAGGUUUUAAUAACUUUAAUUUGACAAAAAAAUAUUCUAUUGAGAUGUUUUUUAUUAUCUAUCCUGGCAUAAAAAAGUAGGUUCAAAUUUAGAAAUAAUAUUUUUUGUUUAAUCUUGUAUUUUUGAAUAUAUUUAGAAGUGUUUUGAAUUGAGAAAUUAAUUAAUUUAUAUUUUCAUGGUAUUUUUUAAAUAUUUUUAGAUGAAAAUAAAUUUUUAAAAUUCUAAACUCAAACCUCAAUUUUUUAAUCAUAAAAGAUGAUUGAAAACCUCUCUCUAUUAACUCUGAUUUAUUUCCCAUUGAAAACCUGACCUCUUCUGUUUUUUUUUUCUUUUUAAUUCUGAUUUUUUUUGAAGUUUUAACUAACCCCUUUAUUUUUUUUUUACUUUGCAUUAUUUUUUCAUAUUCAAAUUAAUAACCUCUCUCUAUUAUUUUUAAAUUGUUUAGAUUAUUUGUUUUAAAUAGCAGUUUUAUUUUUAUAAUAUUUAAAGAGAUUAUUGUAAUUUAUUUUUAAAUAUUUUAUUUUAUAUAUGAUAUAAAUAAUUUGUAUUUGCAUUUUGUAUUUAUGAAAAAAAAAUUAUUUUUUCUAGUAAGAAAAUAUAACUUGUAAGAUAAAAAUGAUAAAAAAGUGUAAAUUAAAAGAAAAUAUCGGGAGUAUAUACUCAUAAUAUAAGCCUAGGUUCUUGACCCUGUUGCUGCUGGAGCUUCUGGUUUCCGGUUAAAGGCUUGUUUGGAGCUUGUGGGUUUGAGGCCUAGUGUUAUUAGAGGAAAUGGGUCCGAGAUUAUUGCUCCUUCAAAGGCUUCUGGUGGAACCACUAAGGUAUUGGAUUUUUCCUUACACGAGAAUUUAUAAAACAUCAAUUCAGCACCCUUGUGAAAAUUGCAAAACUAGAAUUACCAUGCUUGAAAUUGUUUUUAUUGGAUUAUUACAACAUGGGAGUCUUAGUUUUUCUUUCAAUUUCUUUUGGGGUUUUAUGUUCGUUUCAGCUUCAUGAUUGAGUUUCAUUUUCAAGGUUGUAGAUAGCUCUCAUGAGUCAAUGGUGUUGAAUAUUAAACUCAUCAUCCAGAAAGUCAAGGAAGACAACCACCGCCUCACCGGCCACCAGCUGUCACCGACCAGCCGCCAGCCACCAGCUGCCACCGCCUAGCUGCAUUCACACCAUUGGCCGCCAACCACUUUCACACCAUGANNNNNNNNNNNNNNNNNNNNNNNNNNNNNNNNNNNNNNNNNNNNNNNNNNNNNNNNNNNNNNNNNNNNNNNNNNNNNNNNNNNNNNNNNNNNNNNNNNNNUCCAUUACUGCCUUUGGUGGAUUCAUUACCAUGUUUUGCUUGCAUUUCUAGAAAACCCAUUUCAACUUUGUGUAAGUUUUUCUGUUUAUUCAUUUCGGUAUCCCUUUGUGCUUCAAAAAUUGAAUCUUUGUAAAGAGGAAAUGAUAAAGCUACUUACUUGACUGGUAGUUUCUGUUCUUUUUCAAAUGUGCGUUACCAAUUAAGUGUUAUAAAGUGGAAUUUUGGCUUACUUGCUGCGCUAAAUAGUUUAGCUAGUAUACCAAGGACAAUGGAUACACAGUGAAUUUUAGUGGAGCUUAUCUAGGUUAAGAAACAAAAAUAGCUUAGAUUGUGUAAAGCUUUUAUCUAAGGAUGAGGUAGAGGAUAAGAACUUAGCUUGGGGAUACUGGGUUUAUUCUGUUGUUUUUAUUGUCUUGUUUUUUGGAUGUUUGCUGGGAUUUAAGGGUGGGUGUAUGUAUAUAUGCUGGAACAUAAAGGGUGUGGAGUUGCAAUUGAAUGGUUCCAUCAAUCAUGAAUAUUCGAUGGUUUUGUUUAUCUGAAUGAAUGAUAAAAUGUGAAGAAUCCAACUAGCUAGACCCUAUUAUAACAUGAAUGUGCUACAAUGUUCAUGUUUUGUCUCCUGUGCGUUGUGUGCUAUUAAGUAAAACUCUCCAACUCAUACGGUCAGGCUGAAGUAAUAUCGAGGUAUAAUUGUGGAGGCUAUUGAGUGCCCCCUUUGGGUUUUAAAGUAGUUCAUGGAGAAGCAUUCUUCGUUGAUGCUUGUACCACUAAAAAUUGCCAUGCAUCUUGUUAAUAUAUUUUUAUUUCUUUUGUAUAUUUACAUCAUUUCUAUUGUCAGUUAUUUUGGUGUUGAGUUAGCGGGUAACAUGUUCUUUAAUAGUAAGACGCAGAGAGAUCUCAAAGUUGAAUUCCAGAUCCGGCACAUUCAGAGCACAAGCAUCCAAUGUUGGUAUAGGAUCUGGGGGCUAUGAAGGCAAGGAGGAACAAGACAACCAGAAAAGUUUUGUCAAUGGUCCACCUGGUGAUAACUUGCCUGAAAUGUAAGUGAUAUGAAGAAAUACUGACUCUUAUAAAGCUAUAAUCUGGUAAACAUUUGUGUUGUUUAAGCCAUUAUGAUGCACUAUAAAUUUCUCUCCUGGAGAUCUCCAGUUUUUAUGGCACUGCAAACUUCAUAUAGACAUCUAUGAUGAGUGAUUUUGUAUUUAGCAACAUUUGCAUGCACAAAUGGAAGGAGAAUCCUUGAGUGUUUCUAUUACAUAGUUGCUCUUUAAAGUGGAGCUGGCAACCGUUUUCAGUUGAAGAUGUUAUCUAAAUCUGAUUUAUGAAGAUUUUCUGUUGGUACUGUAUGAUUCAAACCCCUCUUUCCCACCUCCAGGAAGCUAAAGUGGCCAUUCACUGUCAGAAAUAUGAAGAAAAGAUGUCCACACCUCCUCUGUUAUCCUUUAUGCAAAUCACAUGCUGUUGACAUAAAUAAGAAAAAAAUCUUUUGGGGAUAUACCUACUUGCAAUUUUGCUAGUCAUUAGAUUUCAAACCCUAACUUUUUUUUUUUUGGGGUUCAACAACACUCAACAGUCAACCGGCUGUUUCUGAAUUUGUUUAACAUUGAUGAUCUUAAACAUCUAGUCAGUGCAUCUGAAGUCUAAUUUGCCAGAGGCUUAGGAUGGACAUAUUUUAAGUAAGACGUCACUCAUAAUUCUUUCAUGAUUUGCAGUGUAAAACCACCCAGCAAAAUUCCUUAUCCUCUAUCUAUAGCUAUUGUGCUGCUUGGAUGUACUUUGGUAUUUUCACUUAUUGCUUUCGUGAGAGGUGGACCUUCAUCAAUUUUAGCAGCAAUCGCCAAGUCAGGAUUGACUGCUGCAUUCACAUUAAUAUUUGUUUCUGAAAUAGGGGACAAGGUAACCAGUUUACAGUUAAAACUUUUCUCUUCAAUCGCCAACUAAUUCUAUGUCCGUGAGACUUUUUUUGAUAUAUAUUUUCUAAUUUACUCUGUUCAGUUCAUCAUCUCAUUUACUUUAUUGAAGUUCUGCACACAAUGGCUAGAUGGCUUGACUUUUUCAAAGUAUUCAUUUUACCUUUUUCUCUUGGUAGAGGUUUGUCAAAAAAGGUUUUUUAUUAUUCAAAUCUUGCCCUAAGGGAAAAAUGUAGAGGACUCUGGGAGUACAAAAUCUUCCCAGGGAAAUGAAACAUGAAGUAUGACCUAAAGCAUGCAAUCCAAUUUGCUCAAAUUUCUUGUGAAUUAAAGCAAAAUAUCAAGCUAUUUAUUAACAUACUAAGGGCUUAAGGAUACUUCUGGCAUGCUUUAACUGUUGCUCUUUUCAAGUUGAUUACAAUUGCUUUGUCUUACAUGAUUUUUGCUGACCAAAUAACCACUACCACUACCAUCUCCAGAUUUAUCUUCCAUUAUCUGCUCGUUCAACAUUGUAGGGGAACUUCUUACUACUGUUUACAUUCAUUCAAGAAUAUGACAGAAAUUUCAUGAACUUCUCUACAAAAUUAAAGCGAACAAACUUUUGGAGCCUCCCAAAAUGGUUAGGUAUAAAAAAAUAUAGACACAGGAAAUAAUUUUUUAUCACAUCAAUUUUCCAAAUUGAAGGCAAAGGAAAGCCAACUGUAAUUUGGUUGCAACCACAGGUAAAUGAGAACAAAUGAUAAAUAAAGUGUACACUCUGGAUGUUUUUCAGCAGUCAGUGGCAGCCUUUAAAGUGUAACAAAUAUGUGCUACAAAUGCCUUUGAUUUUUCAAAAAAUUUAAUAAGUAAUUGAUCUUUAACUUUGCACAUUUCCAUGCUUGUGGCCCCAAGCUCUAAUGCCCUUUUGCGUGAUCUGCAUUCCAGCAGCUAGGCCUGAUAACUGCUAAUCUGCUAUUCAUUAUGACCUCAUUAGCUCCUGCUGGUGAGAUAGAUUCAUUGGAUUUGAUCUUGUAGUCUUCAUGAGUAAUGAAUACAACAGAAAUAUCUAGUUUUUUUUCUGUUUACAGGUUCACAUUCACAAAUGAAUGGUGGAAAUCUUAUUCUAUGAGGAACCUUGUGUUUUUCUAAUUUAAUUGAAGGCAUGAUUCAAACAUAAGCAGAAUGGUGAUCAGGAGUAGUACAGACUGAUGAGUUAGAUUCUUUUAGCUGAUGUGUGAAAAUAGAGACAGUACAGGUCCAACUGGGAUAUGUUUUACUUAUUUGAGGAUUUUGUUUCCUACAAUGUGAAUCCAUUUGCUUGCUGAAGUUGACUAAUUAUCUGCACUUCCAAAUUUCUGGAGCCUAAAAUUAACUCUCUCAUGUAUUGACAGACAUUUUUUAUUGCUGCACUCUUGGCCAUGCAAUAUGAGAAAGGAUUGGUAUGUUUCUCCUGAACUUUCAACCCCUGUUAAUUCAGGAUUGCUUAUGUUAUGUUCUUCAAUGUUUGUUCUGGUUCAAUUUUCUUAAAUGUGCUCAUAAAUAUGAUAGUUUUAUUCCAUAGGGGUGAAUAAAAAUCUGAAAACCCUCAGAAGUUUGCAGCUUACUCCCACAAAGAAUUUGAAAAAUGAGAGACUAAUAAGUGGGAACUUAUUGGCACUGUCAUUCAUUUAUAAUCAGCAAAUAGAAGUAGUCAUUUUUAAGUUAAGAUUGCUGGUCGUUCAUUGCAGAUAUGUAUUAUAGUAUCUAGUUAGAUGAUCACAUAUCAGUUAAUGCUUUCUUUUGUGACUAAUUUUUCUUUUAAUCUCUCAAAUCAUUGACCAGGUUCUUUGGGAUCAAUGGGUGCUCUUUCACUUAUGACAAUCUUGUCAGUGGUAAUUGGACGAAUAUUUAAUUCAGUGCCUGCUCAGUUCCAGACAAGUAAGCUAUUGUCUUGGUAACUGUCCACUUAGCUGACUUGCUUGUGUUCUUUAUUAAUGACUUUAGUGAAAUAGAAACAUGUGUCUUAUCUUGUUAGCCAUGAACAGCCCUCCAAUUGGAGAAUAUGCAGCAGUAACUCUUCUCAUGUUCUUUGGGCUAAAAUCAAUAAAAGAUGCAUGGGAUCUUCCAUCAAAGGACGCUAAGACUGGUGACAAAAGUUGUCCGGAACUUGAUGAAUAUGCUGAAGCUGAGGAGCUUGUGAAAGAAAAGGUAAUCUUGUAACUCAGAAGCCUGAGCUUUUGGGGAAUAUAUUCAGCUCAUUCAUUCAGAGUGAGUUGCAAAAGCCAUAGUCAUGAUUAUUCUUGUUUGAUGAUUUUGGGAGAUUUUGCUUUGUGUUCUUGGAAUUUGUUUCAUUUGGUGUUUCCCUAAAAUUCAUCGCAGCAGAUACUUUCUUAAUGACUACAGGUCUCAAAACCGCUCACCAAUCCAUUUGAGAUUGUGUGGAAGUCAUUCAGCCUUGUCUUCUUUGCUGUAAGCAUCCAUACCUUUAUCUUCUUUUUUCAAGUUUAAUAGUAAGAAUUUCUUUUUCCUAACGGCAUUUUGGUCUCACUUAAAGGGCCCUUGAUAGGGAGAAUUUAAACGUGGUCCUCUGUAUGGUUUUUGCAUGAAAUGUUAGCUCUCGAAACUCCAAUUGCACCUCGCUAUUGUUAUUAAAAUUGCAGCAUAAACAUUUGGAUACAGUCGUAGAUUUUCAUUUUCAUGCUUUCAUAUCUUAUUGGCAACUUCACUGUGAGACAGUGAAUGUUAGAAGGCAUUAUUUAAUGAACCGAAAGUUUCCAGCUUCACCAAAUUGUAAUUGCUUCUAGGAAUGGGGAGAUCGCUCAAUGCUUGCAACAAUUGCUCUUGGUGCCGCGCAGGUGUGAUUUCAUGAACUGUUGACCAUAUGAUAUAGCUAUUCUCUUCAUAGCUGAGAAUCAAUCACAGCAUUGCUUCCCCUUUUCCCUUUCUGCAGUCUCCAUGGGGUGUGGCAACUGGAGCCAUUGCUGGGCACCUGGUUGCAACAACCAUCGCCAUUCUAGGCGGAGCCUUUCUUGCAAACUACAUCUCAGAAAAGCUGGUGAGAGCUGCCACCAUGUAUAAUGGGUUAUUAUAAAACAUCUCAACUCAUAUUCUGUAAUCUAUGCAACUCACUCUGCCUUUUCGACCAGGUUGGCUACUUGGGUGGAGUGCUGUUUCUUGUUUUUGCUGUUGCCACUUUUUUUGGCUUCUUCUAAUGAGUUGGGAAUCAAGAGAAAUAGUUUUCGGGCAGCCAUAAUGGAGCACAGUUGCCUGCGGAUGUUGGACAGCAUUAGUUAUUAGAAAAAAGAUAGUUAAUGAAGAAGAGCAAAUUAUGUGCCAUGCAGCUCCAUGAGAUUGUCGUAUCCAUACCAAGACCCCAUCUUAGGUCAGGUGCAAGUUAUGUUGUGUGAUAAUUGAGACAUUUGGAAGACAAUUAUAUUAGAGAAUUCAGUUGAGACUUGGAAGAUCUGUAUAUUUUUUUCAGGAUGCAGAGUUACAUCCUUUGUUAUGGGUAAGAAAUUGACACUUCCGCCAUUAAUUUUUUUUACUCAAAUUUACAUGAAACGAGUGGUUUGCUCUGUUUUGCUGUUUGGUCUUCACAAGCUAGGCCCUCGAUCCAAUGGCGCACACUAGAAAACUACCAGUACCUCAUUAUUGUUCUCUAUCCCAGCAGAUUAUGGCAAAACCAUGUUCAGUGGAUUCGGAUCUAAAUGGCUAGUUCUUUUUAUUAUUAUUAUUAAUUCGGAUCUGAAAGGUGACAAUGCUGUCUAAUUUAUCCAUUCAUUAAUUUGGAAAUCCAAAUUUUGGCAUUCCAAGUAUCUAGUGUUAAUUACCAGGUCACAUGAAUUAAAUAAUUCAAGAUUCAAUGGAAUAAAUUGCCAUGGAAAACACCCUAAAGACAAGAACAGCAAGAAUAUAGCACAAAUAAUUCAAAAUCUAAUAGCACUUAUAUGUCAAGUUAAUUUCUAUAUUAAAACAAGAAAUUAGAAAAAUUAUUAAAUACAAGAAAUUUUUAUGAUACUUAAACCAUAACUAAUAGCAUUUUAUAUGUUACAUCGUGAUUAUAUUAAUUAAUAAGUAUUAUUGAACGUAUAUGGUAUCGCGAUGAUUAUUUUUUUAGAUUGAGAUAGUAGAGAAUAAUGUGGGUGGAAAAGAUAAUAAAUUUUUAUUUUUUAUCAGUAAAAAAAAUAAAAUAAAAAUUGUUAUCUAAUAUUUUGUUAAUUAAUAAGUAUUAUCGAACGUAUAUGGUAUCGCGGUGAUUAUUCUUUUAGAUUGAGAUAGUUAAGAAUAAUGUGGGUGGAAAAAAUAAUAAAUUUUUAUUUUUUAUCAGUAAAAAAAAUAAAAUAAAAAUUGUUAUCUAAUAUUUUGUUCGUUAAAAAUCCUAACUAGUCUUAAAGUUUGAAAAAAAAGACUAAUUAUAUAUAAAAAAUGUAUUAUCACCUCUAAUACAUCUUAUUUGAGGUAAAUUGUAUUAUUUAUUUGUCUGAUAUAAACUAAAAAAAAAUUAUAUUUUUUAAUUAUUAGCUUUUUUAGAGUUUAAGAAAAGUCAUUUUUAUUAAGAAAAUCAUUAUCUUAUCAUAUGAAAAAACUAACAAUUCUAAUGUUAACAAAAAUAAAUUGUCUUUAUAUUUAAUAUUAUAUAUAUAUAUAUAUAUAUAUAUAUAUAUAUAUAUAUCACAUUUAAUUUCAUUAUUCGGGGAUAAAUGAUAAAGCUGGAAUUGGAGGGGGUGUUGUCGAACUAUAUGUGAAGAAGAUAUGAGUGAGCUUUAUUACAAAAGGACAAAAAAACGAAUUUGGAUAGUUAGUUUUUUAAUUUUUUGAACAACCAAUAAUUCAAAUAAUUAUUCAGAAUACAAUUUGAGUAAUUCUGGUAAUAUGAUAAUUCUUUUUUGACAACGUUAUAUUUUAUUAAUUUGUUAUCUUUUUAUUUAUAAAUCUUAAAACUACUGUACUUGUAAUAUUUUUUUAUCUAAUUAGUAAAAACUUUUCGUUGGGUCUAAUUUUGGAUAAUUAAUUAUAUUUUUUUUUUAUAUUGUAGGUAAAAAAUAUUAAUGAGGUAAAAAAAUUCAAAUGAAAGGAAAAAAAAAACUCCAAAUUGAAUAAAGGAAAAAUCGAGUAAUUCGAAAUGAAAAAUUUUCAUAUUCACCCUAAAUGAGGAAAUAACUUACAAUGAAGUUUAUAUUGAACGGUUCAUAUUGCUCUAAAAAUGAUCUAAAAAAAUAAUAAUUAUCGCUAUAUAUUAUAAUAAUGAAAAAAAAAAGCAUCUGAAGGAAUUUUAACCAAAGCAUCCUAGAAGCCACCCAAAUGUGUAUGAGUGGUCGGGAAAUGUCCACAACAGCGAAGCUAUCCAAAUCCAUUUUAUCACAACUCUCUUCGAUCAAGAUUACAUCCGGCAACAAGAUCAAGCAAGGUUGAAACACAGGCAAAUUAAGAUGUCAACAGAGGUGAUGUUUCUUCGCAGUCACUGUUACCACGUACCAGAAAGAACAUCACCGCUCCUCUAUCCUUGCACUUACAGUGUCUAUGCCAAUAUCAGAUCGGACCACCCAGUAAGACUAAUGAGGAGAAGGCUGACAGCACCUAAACUGUUAAUGCUGCCACAGGUACAGAGACCAAAUAGAAAAUCAUCACCGUUAACAACAAUAACAGCAGCUGCUGCAGGCGUGCCACUGCCUCCACUUGAUUUGACUGAAGAGAAUGUUAAACAGGUGUUGGUUGAUGCUCGAGCAGAGGCAAGUACAGGGAUCUUUCUGAGAUCAGACUUUCUUUGUUUUUCUCUUGUCUGUAUGAGUUUGGCUAGUUUAAAAUAGUAGGAUGUGUGUUUGUUUUUGCAGCUUGGACAGAUUUUUGACUCUUCAGUGGGCAUAACAGGUGACUCCUAAGGUACACAUAGGCUUGAUUUCUCUACUGAUAUACUCUCUCUGUAAUGUUGUUUAAGGAUGUAAAAUUGAACAUGUAACCAGGACAAGUUGAGCUUGCUGAAUUGGAUGGACCAUUUGUGGUGAUCAGUCUCAAAGGUAGGUUUUGGCACGAACGUUCCAUGGUUCUUGCUAGAAUUGGCAACUACUUGAAGCAGAGAAUCCCUGUAAGUUUAUUCAUAGCAAUUGAGAAAUAAUAAUAAUAAUAAUAAUAAAUAAAUGAUACGGUACUCGUUCGGUCAUGGCUUCUGAUGUUCUCUUGUUUCCAGGAAAUUUUGGAGGUAGAGAUUGAAGAUGAGAAACAGCUGGAUGACAGCCCAGAAAAUUUUUAAGGUGUUCGGUUCUAGUAGGUUGUAAUAAUCUGCUUUGUAGCUCUCCGUUCUGUGGCAUUGUAUUGGAUUUCAGUAAUUUCUUCGGGUGAAAUUUAAAAAAUUAACGAAAGAGUUGCGCUACUAUUAUGAAAACACUAGCUACAGUGCUGAAAACGGCAUCAUUUCAUUAUAUAUAUAUAUAUAUAUAUAUAUAUAUAUAUAUAUAUAUAAUAAUAAUCAUAAGUGAUUUCUUAAAAUUUGAAUUUGUUUGGUUUUUGGUGUUUGAUGCAUGUAUGACAUGGUCUUUAAAUUUUAUUUGUGUUAAAACGAAGUCCUUCAAUGUAGAGAAAGGAAGGGGAAUCAAGAGGAGAGAGAAUCAUUUAUUUAUUUUUAAGUUUCUAGAGUUGAUGAAAAUAUGUUUUGAGGGUUAUUGAGAUGAUUCUAAGGUUUUGGAGUUAAAAAUGAUUUAGAAAUUAAGUUUGGAUGGUCAAAUUUUUUAGAUAACUUUCCUAUGAUUAAUAGAUUGCAUAUAAUAACGUGUUGUUUGCCACUAUUUUUUUUUUUUUUUAGCCUAGAUUACAUGUGUUUGGCCAAGCAUGUUGAGAGUGGUUUAAUCUAACUCCUUUUUAUUUUUGAUGAUUUUAUUUUUUUAAUAUUUAUUGUUUUCUCAAAAUAAAGAAUUUUCAAUAAUAAAUUAUUAUUGUGAUUUUUCUAUGCACUGGUUAAUUAUAAUUAAUUAUCCUUCUAAUAGAGGUUGAUUUAGCACUUUUUUAGCAUCGGUUUUCACAUUCUUUCCAUGAUUGACUAAGCUAGUUUGAUUUUUUUUUUAUAUAAAAUAAAUAACUAAUAGAGUGUUUUCUUAUUGUUUAAAAUCAGAUAUAUCCGUAUGAUAUAUUUAAACUCAAACAUAAAAUGCACACAUGGUGGUAAAUACUAUAAAUUUCAUAUUCAAUUAAAAAAUAUAAUUAAUUUUGAUUUAUUUUAAUUUCAUUCAUGUUAUAUUUUUAAAUAGAUUUUAUAGACUUACUCACAAGAGGAUACUCUGAUAGAGAAUCCUAUAUUAGAACUAACGGCAAAUCUGUGUUAGUUCUACCUUUUCAUUUUUCGUCAUUUUUGACAGUUGCUCCAAGAACACGGAUAUUCUUAUAAAAAUGAAGAAACGAAAUAGUUUUUCGUUGGUUGGCAGCCUCGUCAAAAAAAUCUUCCUGGAAGGUUGCUACAUUUUACUCUGCAGAUUCCUCGAUUAAAAAGGGCAAUGGAAAUCUCUACAGGAACAGACCUGGUAUUGCACAAGCAGUCCACCAUCAUCAACAGAGUCAUCAUCUCCAAGGCAUUUAGUUAAUUGAGUAACGAAAAGCAAGCACAUUUAGGAGCAUCAGCUUACGAUCAAUUAGUUGAGUCUCUGCAGAGCAUCUCCAUGAACAAGCCUCUGUUACGACCAGUCCUUGAAAUAGUGUCACUAUUGGACUUGGUUCUCGUAGAAGUAUCUUCCACUAGAGCAAUGUAAAUAUCAACAACAACUACGUAUUUUUGCUAAGGAACAAUGGGGUCAACUCCAACACCUGAUGAAUUGUAAUUUCACUCAACAACAUAUAUCAGUUUAGAGAAACCACAAAAAAAGUAAUCAUUUCUCAAAAAAUCAUCAGAUUGAAUUACACUUUUUUUACAAGACUUUAACAUGGCAAAGGUUGGUCUCUCAUUUUGUCACCCUCCUCUUUUUUCUAUAUUACUCCUUUUACUUGGUGUUCUAUUUGCUUUCCAUGUGAAUGAGGGUUGAGGUCAUUCAACUAUACAUUGAUGAGAGUGAAACUCACCAUUUGACAGCAAUCUAACAAUUAGUUUU